This 8045-nucleotide long non-coding RNA is filed under the name Triticum aestivum (bread wheat). RNAcentral's name for it is "long non-coding RNA (TAES_LNC028218)". The record is from RNAcentral. Lineage: Eukaryota; Viridiplantae; Streptophyta; Magnoliopsida; Poales; Poaceae.
CUCGAGGUCGUCCAUGGAGGUCCGAACGUGAUACAGGCUUGAGUUACGCCAUACACACUUACCUAUCUAUGUAUCGUAGUUACGAGAGCAUCAAGGUAUGAACGUGAUACACUACCACCUAUUUUUACUCGCAUGGACCAAAUCAUCAAUAUUAAAAUUCUGAUGUCCACCUAAAAGUAACUGUAUGUAGCAGUCAUACAGUAGCCCAGUAAAUAGAUGCCUAUGAAUGCAAGCUUCUAAAUUUCAAUUGGUAUGAGCAGGUGCUUGUGCAGCCAAUAAGGGCAUCUCCAGCCGCGCCCCUAGGAAGGCCUCCCCAGGCGAUUUUUCGCACCGGCGCCGAAAAAACGGCCCAGUCGCGCCCCCAGUAGCCCGAUUUUCGCCGGCUUGGGCCGAAAACAGCACCGGCGAACCAAGCCCGAACCCGGCGCGCGGGGGGCGCACGGGGGCGCCGGGGCGAGCUGUUUUGGUGCGAAAAAGGCGCGGGCCAGCCGCGUCAGCGACUCGGCGCCUCGUCUUCCCCCAACGGCCUCGGUUCCCGCGGGGAAUCAAUGGCAAGGCUGCCGCCGGUUAGCCCUGCCAUUGAUUCCUCACGGGUGGUGCUUCACGGGACGGCGCGCCGACGCCUCCCCUCCCUCGCACGCGUACACACGGGCGCGGCCCGGUUAUAAAAGCCGGCGGCCUCCACUCGCCUGUGCCCACACCAGCCCCACCCCUCGCCGCCGUCCAGCCCCUUCCUCUCCCUGCCUCUCCCAAGCCCCGCCGCCCAGCCCCUCCCUCUACCUCUCCCGAGCCCGCCCAGCCCCGCCGUCGCCAUGGAAGAACGCUUCCCCGGAGACGAGGCGGCGGCCAACGGCUUCGGCCGCCGUUCGCUCCCCGAACAGGAGUCCUGGCUCCUGUUCCAGGCGAACAUCCCGGCGCCACUGGACAUGCGCGUCGGGCCAACGGGGUGGAGACUCAGCACCGGGGGAGUGCCCAUUCCCCCGUUGCCCGACGCCGUGGCGAAGCCGAAGUACUUCGCCGAGGAGGUCGAGAUCGUGCGCGCGUCCCUCGCCGACGCCCAACUCUCCCUCCCCCAGUACGCCGCCGACAACCACGCGGCUUGGGCGGCGUAUUUCGAGCGCCGCCAGCAGCAGCGAUUGGCGUCCACCAAUGGCGCACCGGUGGUCGGCGGCCGGCAGAACAGCGAGGGGCGCCACCUCUGGUGGGGCGUCUCCGGUCGCACACUCGAGGGCGUGCUCACGUACCUCGUGGGCGGCAACAACCCUCCGUUGGCGUACCCCCCGGCGCAGCACCGACGCGUCGGGCCAUGGGCGCCAAGGAGGUUCGGGUCCUCCUCCUCCUCUUCCUCCUCCUGAUCCUCAUCGCACUCCUCCGGCACUCCGGGCCUGCUCGGCGUCAAGGCUGAGCCCGCGGCGGAGUCGCCGCUCGGCCGGCGCACUCGCAACACCGGCAUCGUCAUCAAUGAGGGCGGCCGGCGCGCCUCCUCCUCGUCGGCUCCUCCGCGCUUCGUCAAGCCAAAAACGGAGCCGGGGCUGGCGCCGGUGAAGACGGAGCCGGGGCUGGCGCUGGUGAAGGCGGAGUUCGACGACGACGAUGCGGCCCUAGAAUGGGCGCGCCAGGACUCCAUUGCGAUGGAGAAGGCGCGCCGGGAGAAGGUGAAGGAGCGCCAGCGCGCCGCCCUGCGCCGCUUCGAGGAGCGCCGACGCGGCCGCGAUGAAGACGGGGUCGUCGUCCUAUGCGACAGCGACGACGACGACGACGCGCCGCCGCCAGUCCGCCAUGGCGACGCCGGGUCCACCAGGGGCGACCGCGUCAAGGAGGAGAAGGCCGACGACGAUGAUGGCGGCGACGGCGGCGACGACUUCAGCCCCUUUCUUUUUUAGAUUAGGUUAUCGUAAUGAAAAUGCAUGAAUUUCGCCGAAAUUUGCCAUGCUUAGCCGAAAUUUAACUACUUUUUAUCAUAACUUCGCCGAACGGCCCUUUCUUUUUUUUAAUACGCGCCUGGGGCGGCCUUGGGGGCCGACGGCUGGGGACCGACUCGUCCCCAGGGCCUUUUUUGCGCCGGCUCACCCCCAGGCGGCGCUUUUAGACGCCCCCUGGGGGGCCAACGGCUGGAGAUGCCCUAAUGGUUAUUGGCUCAGAAUUGUCGUUUGCCGCUGACCACUUCUCAGAUUUCUAUUAACCCGAGGACCAGAACAAGCAGGUUGAUGUGCAAGUAUAUAGUUUCUAUUGGAAGAGUUAGCUUCAGACAACGUACGAUCUAUGCAAAAUCCAUCAUCUCAUGCUUGCAUAACAAGACCGAUGGUAAUUUGUUUACUACUCUACUUACUGCAGUUUACAAAUUCUUUUAUGGCUUCAGUUCCCACGCCGCUGCGCGUGCAGGUCUCUGCUUGCUCAGUCCUCUUGCCGCGACACCAUCACCAAGUCACUCAGAGCCCACCACCGCCACAAACACCCCAUGCCAUCACGCGUGACAGUCGCAGCAUCACAACUUCACGGUAAAUCAUUAAAAUUUCAAAACACCAGUCAAUUCAUGUUCAAGUCGAGAACUAAUAAUGUAGACGACCUUCACGUCGAAAAUGCUGUCUAAAUAAGCACAAUACAAAUUAUUUUGGCCUGGUAUACCACUAAAACAUUUUUGAAAUUAUUUGAAAAGUAUAAGAUAUUCAUUGUUAUUUCUCCAUUAAGAUAUCCCCCUUUGUUAGUACUGCCCUAUUCCUUUUCCUUUUUUCAGGAAAGUGGAAGGAGUGAUGAAGAACUAAAACAUAGUUACAGUGGGCGUUUUUUAUAGGAACAAAACUGAAGAAUUUGACAUUAAUAUAAUUUUAGUAUUAAUUCAAGUGUCCCUGGUUUUGCUAGCAUCAGAUCAUGUUGACCUAAUUGUCCAUGGUUACACUCAUCUUCAAACGGCACAACUUGUUUUGCUGCACAUCUUCUCUUACCCUAUGACGAACAGGUAUUCUAUGUUUCAUCCCUCUCUUAUUUCACACUGCAUUAACAAUGUUUUCUCAGUACGUGGAUUUGCCUAACUUUGACUUAUUGAUUAUUCAUUUUGUUACUGAUGUGUACACAAACCCUGCCUAAUUAAUUUAGUCUACUAUAUCUAACCAUAUGAAAUCUCAAAGUUGAUUCAGACUACUUGCCUGAUGGUGUGGUACAUUACCUCUGGGUUUUUUUUAACUACGAGAGCAGAACGACGGCGCCGACGUGGAUGACUCGGAGCUCAACCUUGCAAAGGGCCGCGAGCAGCGGCGACUUUCUUUUCCACGAGAAGAUGACCAAGGGCGCCAUCGGCCAUUUUGUCGUCGUCGUCGAAGAGUCCAAGCUCGUCCCCGCAUCGGUUGCAUUGGUGCCGAUCAGGUGCUAAUCUGAAUCCUUAUCCAAUUUCAUGUGGACUAUAAAAAAACCAGGGUUGAAUGCACAUUACCAUCACACUGCCAUUUAGUUUUUGUUGGUACGCAAUAAUAUUGCUACAAUUCUAUUUAUAGAUUUUUUGCCCAUUUUGUCUUUGUCUUUGUCCAUGGUCAGAUCAUGGUUUUUAGGCUUGAUUGUUAUGAGUCAGUAAGGUGAGAAUGAGCGGUAAUGGUUUAACUAAUCAUGCCAUCAUGUUUUUAGUAUCACUAAUUUAUCUAUGCUAAUUCUUUCAACAUUAUUGUCAUUGUUGAUGAUUCUAAAAGGUAAAGAGAAAUGUUAGAAUGCACCUUCUUCUAUGGCAUGCGGCCCCGACGGCACCGCAGAUGUCUAUGCGGUCUUCGUCCUUAACCACUGUCUAGCGCCACUACCCUGCAGCUUCUGUGACCUCUGUUGGCCUCCUCAUGGCUCCUUCACCCUCCAGCUUCCCACGUGCUUCUCUGUUGCACAAAAACUUUCCUGCCCAGGUGGUUGCCGGUUUUCUGGAUUGGUUUUGCUACUAUUGAAGAAGUAGAACCAGUUCCACCCAAAUCGAUUGUUUAUUUGUGUAAUGCAAUCUCUAUUAUGCUCAGAGUCUGAUUGGCAUUUUCCAAAUCAAUGCACGGGGACCUUCAAUUUGAUUCAGUUUUAUCUUCUACUGCAGAUAGGGAAACAUGGACAUUGGAUAUCCAUUUCUUAGGUGUCAAUCUGGUGCUUAGGCUGUAUUAUAGUACAGGGCAGAGUUCUUCCAUCUACUAAUUUAGGUAAUCUGAUUUAUAGGUUAGGCACGCACUUUGCUUUAAGCAUAGUUACCUAUUCGAUGGUGACCAACCCUCUCUCAGAAGCGCCGUACAAACAAUUCAGGCGCUUGCUUAAAAUUUACUCCCUCCGUCCCAAAAUAAGUGUCUCAAUUUUGUACUAGCUCUAGUACAAAUUUGUACUAAACUCAAGACACUUAUUUUGGGACGGAGGGAGUAUUACUUUAGAGACAUGGGGAUCCUGAGGUUGACACACUUGAUUCUUGCUGCUGCUUAUGCAUCCCUGAACUUUUGUUAAAUGUAUGAUUAUCUGGAUAUUCCCAAUACGUUAUCAAGUGUAGGGUUCAGAAAAUAAGGACAGCCAUUUGUUCCACCUUUUGUAGUUCAUCAAGCAUAUGAUGUUAAGAAAAUGACAACUUGCCAGGUUACAGUUCUGAAAUAUUUUCGUUUGUAGCAUAUGUACCAGCAAGAUGGUGAACUAGAUUCAAAUUUGAUACUCCUCUUUUCCGUGAAAUAUUUCCUCUGCAUUUUUAUUUGUCAUUUAUAUGUUUGGAUGCUCGUGUUGCAAGGUUCAGCCACUGCUUCAACAUUGUAGGAAUUUCUUGUGGUCUCGAAUGGAUGAACAAAGAGCGCUAGCUUCGUAAUGCCUCUGAGACGAUAUGUCGGAGAUGGUAUUGAUUUAUUUUUUAAGGUAAGCAAGCGACUUAUUUGGAGUAAUCUCAGGGAUAUGUCUUUGUUAUCAGUUGCAAGUUACUGUGCAGAUUGAUAAUGGUAAAAAUAUUGUUGGAUAAAUCUAAUUCCAUUGAAUUAACAGAUUUUUUCCGUUGUGGGCAUUCGAAUAUUUAGAGUAAUAUGCAUGCACAAUUGUCUUAAAUCUACACGUAACCAGUCAAUCAUUACUUUGUACUAUAUGCUAUGAAAAUAUUAUGUGAGCAAACUUAAGUAGUAACCUUAUAUGGCUAUGCACUGAAAAUGGUCUUAGGUACGUCCAGUUUCAAUACAUUCACAUAUUGAGGCCACUGUAAAUGCUUCUACUAUUGCAGGUUCAACUUGAAUCUUCACUUCCGUAGGCAUGUAACUGAUUCGCUUCUUGAUGAGUUUAUAGCUCGCUGAUUCAAUCCAUAUAGCUUGCGAGGUGCUGGUAUAGUCUUAUACGACAUUUGAUCUACAUUUUAUUAAAUGUCUUUCCCUUAAAGAAAUAUAGUGCGAAGAAAUUAAAUUUUAGAAACAACUGCUGGUUACUGUUGUUUGUGAAUUCUAUUUAAUCCUUCACAAUUUUUAAAUAGUUUAUCUUGUGCUUCCUUAACUAUUUGUCUGCAUAUAUAUACAAUUCUUUUGAAAUUUAUUGUUAAUAAUUUCUUGAAUACAACAAUACACUAAAAGGCAUGUGGUAAUGCAUGGGCAUCUAACAUGCUAAAAAACACGUUGACCUUGGAGAUGACCUUAAUUAUUUAUUUGAUUCAUUUAUAUGCAUUGUAGCCCGUAGCAACGCACACGCGCUCUACUAGGAUAUUUUUAAUGCCAUCGGCACCCUCGCCAUGCCAUAUUUUUGAUGACUACAUGUCAUAUUUUUAACUAACCUUUGACCUUCCCCAUCGGCACCCCCGCCAUGCCAUCUCAACGUCAACGGCCCGAUGACGCCGACCCCUUAUCAACGUGGCCAUAUUGUCCGGGCGGGCAAGUCAACGUUAGGUGGCCGGAUCCCAAGAUGGAGGUAUGUGUGCUUGCUUGUUGAUGUGUUUUUGUUCGAUGUGCUUGCUGCCAUGGUCGAUUUCUAUCUGUGUUGACAUCAGCUUUCUCCUGACGGCAUAGUCACGUGCUCGACCAUAGCGACAACUACCAGGAAGGCAGUGGCCUCACCGAGGAAGACAUACGUGCUCACGCAGGGCGGCCUCCUACCGAUCCACGACUUUCUUCCGGGUGGCGGCGCACACAAGGUCAUCCACAUCGGCUUCAACAAGACGCGAGUAUCCACACGGAGGACGGCUUGCUUGCUGAGGGCGUUGUCCACCCGGACGACGGUGUGCUGUUGACCACGCAAAGGGCCGCAUCCACCUGGACGACGGUGUGCUGGCGGAGUAUGGCGUCCGCCCGAACGAUGACAGAUAACGUGGCGAACGAUGACGGCCACCAGGUACUCCCCGGCGAUGGCGGCAGCAUCAUCAUGGACGACAGCAUGCUUAUGGCCAGUGACGUGCUUGCAGAAGGCGUUAUGAGAGAGGCAACCAGCAGGACGGUGACGACCACGUGCACGCACUCAAACACAGCAGCAGCAAGCACAGGACGAUGGCGACCAGGUGCGCAUGCAAGCAUCUCCUAGGAACUGGGGCUGAACGACGAGGCUAGCAUCUCAUACGAGCUCACGCUCAAGCACAAGAUUGUCUGGGCUGGGUGUCUCAUCUGGCCUUGCUGAUAUGUGUCCUUUUCUCCUCUCAUGAGAUCAUCAGGUGCCAAUUAUGCUGGAGUUGUAUACCUUGUAGGUAGAUAAUACACUGCAAGGCCUGGCCAAUAAGCAUUUCCUAUUUGGCGAUGAAUGUUACAAUAGUAGGAUCUGCAUCUAGGCACCCUUAAAUGAACUGUAACUUACAGAGCAAGCAAAUCAUAUACAUUGUUUGUGGGCCCAAUCUCAUUCAUAUAUAUAAUCAUUAUACUUCCAUUAUAAAUUUGUUUGAAAGCAAUUUGGUCAUCUCUAACGUUUUUCCAUCACUGCUUGAGAAAGUAGCUCUUUUCGGUUGUAGCGCUCAAAUAUGUCAAUGCAUAUCUCUGUCAGCUGAAUGAGUAUCUUGGAAUUCUUAGUUCAUAAUAAUUUUCUGUUCAGUAUCCAGCUGUGACAACAGUAGCUUCUUGCAUCUACGCGAAUGCGAUGGUUAAAUAUACUGCAACUUAUAUUUGAGCAAAUCAUAUAAACUUAAAACACUUUGCCUGACAUUCAUAACCUAUAUACUUCCUCCUGCCCAAAUGGGUCAACAAGGAACAAAGGGGUCGACACAUGGAGAAGUGGGAGCAUAAAAUUCAAAAGGUACUGAACAUGUGUAUGGAUUACACCGGUGAGUGAAUGGUGUGGCACAUUGAGUCAGAGAGUAGUUGCUAGACUGGUAUGAAAAACAGUUGUUUCUCGAUUAGAUUAAGUCUAAACUUAUCUUCAACAUGUGUGCUCUUUUAUCACCAUUUUAGAAGAGGUUCAAUGCAGAAUCCUUAGAUUGCCAAUUUUUACUUCAUUGGAAGCACUUUAUCGAUACGUUUGGAAUAAUUCUCAGAUUCCAUGAAACAUGUUCGUGACACCAAUUUUAACUAAAGAAUAAAGCAAUCUCAAUUUUGUUCUGUAACAAAUUAAAAUAUUAUCCUUUCCUAUGAGAAAAGAAAACAUAUACUACAUUGAAGCGAUUGCCAAUUGAAGGAAGCAUUUUCUAUGGUCAGUCCAAACAAAAAAAAAUUAACCAUAUGGAAACAAUAUUUAGUUGCCAUAGAUGUAAUUUGACCCGAAACAGUUUUCUUACCAUCCAAAAAAAGGAAGUGAAAAAACCUUCCAAAAGCAAGGAGUAUCAACAUUUGAAACAAAAUAUAUUUUCGUACAGAAGUAAUUUACAUCUAUGGAAGCAAUUUUUUGUUCAUCACUAACCUGAAUCAAUAUGUGUUAUGUUCUCUUUCAGAGAAGUGAACUAUGAAAUCCCUCCUCAUUCCAAACAAUGAAAUUAUGAGGCUGAAAGUACAAAUUUCAUACGACAUGGCUGACUUAGAGAAAAAAAUGGGCGUAUUUGGAGCCGGAUGGAAACAUGGGCAGAUUUGGAGCAGUGUGAAGACGGCGCAUGCUGGUGUUGCAAUGACCAAAAGCGCCGAAGUGAAAGAAGAGAUGGAAUGACAAUGACGCAACCUUGUAGCGUGAUUCUUGUAUGUAUA